AGCGUAGGUGGCCUAACAUGUCAACUGUGAAAACCCGGAGCUCAACUCCGGACUUGCAGUUGAAACUGGUAGGCUUGAGGGCGGUAGAGGAAGACGGAACUGCCAGUGUAGGGGUAAAAUCCUUAGAUAUUGGCAGGAACGCCGGUGACGAAGGUGGUUUUCUGGGCCGGUUCUGACACUGAUGCUCGAAAGCCAGGGGAGCGAACG
RNAcentral lists this ribosomal RNA (207 nucleotides) under uncultured Mesotoga sp. RNAcentral's name for it is "partial 16S ribosomal RNA". It matches the Rfam family "Bacterial small subunit ribosomal RNA", at positions 568 to 774 of the family's 1533-position model. Lineage: Bacteria; Thermotogati; Thermotogota; Thermotogae; Kosmotogales; Kosmotogaceae. The record is from RNAcentral.